GGUGGGGUAGCUCAGCUGGCAAGAGCGGCGGAUUCAUAACCCGCAGGUCCGGGGUUCAAGUCCCCGCCCCGCU
This 73-nucleotide transfer RNA is filed under the name Phycisphaerales bacterium. Its description in RNAcentral is "tRNA-Met". It matches the Rfam family "tRNA". Rfam says of the family: Transfer RNA (tRNA) molecules are approximately 80 nucleotides in length. Their secondary structure includes four short double-helical elements and three loops (D, anti-codon, and T loops). The record is from RNAcentral. Lineage: Bacteria; Pseudomonadati; Planctomycetota; Phycisphaerae; Phycisphaerales.